Molecule: transfer RNA, 67 nt
Filed under: Phyllotreta foudrasi
Lineage: Eukaryota; Metazoa; Arthropoda; Insecta; Coleoptera; Chrysomelidae
Description: tRNA-Met
Source: RNAcentral
AAAAAGAUAAGCUAAGUUAAGCUAAUGGGCUCAUACCUCAUUUAUAAAGAUCAUUCUUUUCUUUUUA